GAUGAAGAACGUAGCGAAAUGCGAUAAGUAAUGUGAAUUGCAGAAUUCAGUGAAUCAUCGAGUCUUUGAACGCACAUUGCGCCCCCUGGUAUUCCGGGGGGCAUGCCUGUCCGAGCGUCAUUGCUGCCCUCAAGCACGGCUUGUGUGUUGGGCCCCCGUCCCCGGUUUCCCCCGGGGACGGGCCCGAAAGGCAGCGGCGGCGCCGCGUCCGGUCCUCGAGCGUAUGGGGCUUUGUCACCCGCUCUGUAGGCCCGGCCGGCGCCAGCCGACACCCAACUUUAUUUCUAAGGUUGACCUCGGAUCAGGUAGGGAUACCCGCUGAACUUAAGCAUAUCAAUAAGCGGAGGA
Molecule: unclassified non-coding RNA, 348 nt
Filed under: soil metagenome
Description: partial contains 5.8S ribosomal RNA, internal transcribed spacer 2, and large subunit ribosomal RNA
Rfam family: 5.8S ribosomal RNA (bases 1-120)
Source: RNAcentral